GAUGAACGCUGGCGGCGUGCCUAAUACAUGCAAGUCGAGCGAACAGACGAGGAGCUUGCUCCUCUAACGUUAGCGGCGGACGGGUGAGUAACACGUGGAUAACCUACCUAUAAGACUGGGAUAACUUCGGGAAACCGGAGCUAAUACCGGAUAAUAUAUUGAACCGCAUGGUUCAAUAGUGAAAGACGGUUUUGCUGUCACUUAUAGAUGGAUCCUCGCCGCAUUAGCUAGUUGGUAAGGUAACAGCUUACCAAGGCAACGAUGCGUAGCCGACCUGAGAGGGUGAUCGGCCACACUGGAACUGAGACACGGUCCAGACUCCUACGGGAGGCAGCAGUAGGGAAUCUUCCGCAAUGGGCGAAAGCCUGACGGAGCAACGCCGCGUGAGUGAUGAAGGUCUUCGGAUCGUAAAACUCUGUUAUUCGGGAAGAACAAAUGUGUAAGUAACUAUGCACGUCUUGACGGUACCUAAUCAGAAAGCCACGGCUAACUACGUG
RNAcentral lists this ribosomal RNA (497 nucleotides) under uncultured bacterium. RNAcentral's name for it is "partial 16S ribosomal RNA". It matches the Rfam family "Bacterial small subunit ribosomal RNA", at positions 28 to 507 of the family's 1533-position model. The record is from RNAcentral.